This 64-nucleotide transfer RNA is filed under the name Glyphocrangon regalis. RNAcentral describes it as "tRNA-Phe". It matches the Rfam family "tRNA". From Rfam's summary of the family: Transfer RNA (tRNA) molecules are approximately 80 nucleotides in length. Their secondary structure includes four short double-helical elements and three loops (D, anti-codon, and T loops). The record is from RNAcentral. Lineage: Eukaryota; Metazoa; Arthropoda; Malacostraca; Decapoda; Glyphocrangonidae.
AUUUAAAUAGCUUAAAGAGAGCAUUACACUGAAGCUGUAAGGGUAGUAAAAUUACUUUUAAAUA